This 421-nucleotide ribosomal RNA is filed under the name uncultured bacterium. Its description in RNAcentral is "bacterial SSU rRNA". It matches the Rfam family "Bacterial small subunit ribosomal RNA", at positions 374 to 793 of the family's 1533-position model. The record is from RNAcentral.
GGAGCAGUCUGACCAGCCAUGCCGCGUGGAGGAUGAAGGUCCUCUGGAUUGUAAACUUCUUUUAUUUGGGAAGAAACCCAUCUUUUCUUGGAUGGCUGACGGUACCAGAUGAAUAAGCACCGGCUAACUCCGUGCCAGCAGCCGCGGUAAUACGGAGGGUGCAAGCGUUAUCCGGAUUCACUGGGUUUAAAGGGUGCGUAGGUGGGCAAGUAAGUCAGUGGUGAAAUCUCCGGGCUUAACCCGGAAACUGCCAUUGAUACUAUUUGUCUUGAAUACUGUGGAGGUCAGCGGAAUAUGUCAUGUAGCGGUGAAAUGCUUAGAUAUGACAUAGAACACCAAUUGCGAAGGCAGCUGGCUACACAAAUAUUGACACUGAGGCACGAAAGCGUGGGGAUCAAACAGGAUUAGAACCCCCUGGUAG